This 799-nucleotide ribosomal RNA is filed under the name uncultured bacterium. RNAcentral describes it as "bacterial SSU rRNA". It matches the Rfam family "Bacterial small subunit ribosomal RNA", at positions 66 to 858 of the family's 1533-position model. The record is from RNAcentral.
ACGGACUCAUAUUGAAACCUAGUGAAGUAUGAGUUAGUGGCGGACGGGUGAGUAACGCGUGGAAAACCUGCCGUAUACUGGGGGAUAACACUUAGAAAUAGGUGCUAAUACCGCAUAAGCGCACAGCUUCGCAUAAAGCAGUGUGAAAAACUGAGGUGGUAUACGAUGGUUCCGCGUCUGAUUAGCUAGUUGGUGGGGUAAAAGCCUACCAAGGCAACGAUCAGUAGCCGGCCUGAGAGGGUGAACGGCCACAUUGGGACUAAGACACGGCCCAAACUCCUACGGGAGGCAGCAGUGGGGAAUAUUGCACAAUGGGGGAAACCCUGAUGCAGCGACGCCGCGUGAGUGAAGAAGUAUUUCGGUAUGUAAAGCUCUAUCAGCAGGGAAGAAAUACUGACCAUAGGGUCAGCAGACGGUACUUGACUAAGAAGCCCCGGCUAACUACGUGCCAGCAGCCGCGGUAAUACGUAGGGGGCAAGCGUUAUCCGGAUUUACUGGGUGUAAAGGGAGCGUAGACGGCAGCGCAAGUCUGAAGUGAAAUGCCAGGGCUUAACCCUGGAACUGCUUUGGAAACUGUGCAGCUAGAGUGCAGGAGAGGUAAGUGGAAUUUCUAGUGUAGCGGUGAAAUGCGUAGAUAUUAGGAGGAACACCAGUGGCGAAGGCGGCUUACUGGACUGUAACUGACGUUGAGGCUCGAAAGCGUGGGGAGCAAACAGGAUUAGAUACCCUGGUAGUCCACGCUGUAAACGAUGAUUACUAGGUGUUGGGGACCAAGGUUCUUCGGUGCCGUCGCAAACGC